AACGAACGCUGGCGGCAGGCCUAACACAUGCAAGUCGAGCGAGGACUUCGGUCCUAGCGGCGGACGGGUGAGUAACGCGUGGGAACGUGCCCUUUGCUUCGGAAUAGCCCUGGGAAACUGGGAGUAAUACCGGAUGAGCCCUUUGGGGGAAAGAUUUAUCGGCGAAGGAUCGGCCCGCGUUGGAUUAGGUAGUUGGUGGGGUAAUGGCCUACCAAGGCGACGAUCCAUAGCUGGUCUGAGAGGAUGAUCAGCCACACUGGGACUGAGACACGGCCCAGACUCCUACGGGAGGCAGCAGUGGGGAAUAUUAGACAAUGGGCGAAAGCCUGAUCUAGCCAUGCCGCGUGAGUGAUGAAGGCCUUAGGGUUGUAAAGCUCUUUUACCCGGGAUGAUAAUGACAGUACCGGGAGAAGAAGCUCCGGCUAACUCCGUG
Molecule: ribosomal RNA, 433 nt
Filed under: uncultured bacterium
Lineage: Bacteria
Description: partial 16S ribosomal RNA
Rfam family: Bacterial small subunit ribosomal RNA
Source: RNAcentral